AUUAGAACAACAUGCAGUUCAACCCCUUCAUGUUUCAAUGAGGGUUCAGAUACCCAGAGGGCUAUGUGAUCAUCCUGGAGCCCACUCUGCUAACAAUUAGCAGAACGGAAGCCUUAAUUUCCAGAAUCUAGUGAACUUGAUGAGUCAAGACCAUUGCAAUUGGAAAUCUGUUCUCCUCUGCUGCUGCAUCCCCCGCUUAAUACUCAAGCCAGAAACCAGGAAGGCUGUGGCUUGCCUUUUCACUUCUUGUGUCCUGUUUAAGAAAUAUCUGCUAUCCCAAGAUAACACUAACAAAGUUGACCUUAGAAUUGGAGUGCCCGGGUUAGAACCUUGCUGGUACCACCUGCUUACUGCAUGCUUCUGAUGUGAGUUCAGGAGAAGCCACUGGCAAGGACAGCAAAGAACAGGAGAACACUCUAGCUUCCCUGAUAGCAUUCAAGGUGCUGUCCAAAAGUUUCACUCUUGUCACCCAGGCUGGAGUGGAAUGGCACAAUCAUGGCUCACUGCAACCUCUGCCUUUCCGGUUCAAGCAAUUCUCCUGCCUCAGCCUCCCCAGUAGCUGGGACUACAGGCAUGCACCACCAUGCCCGGCUAAUUUUGUAUUUUUAGGAGAGACGGGGUUUCACCUUGUUGGUCAGGAUGGUCUCGAACUCCUGACCUCAGUUGAUCCACCCUCCUCAGCCUCCCAAAGUGCUGGGAAUACAGGUGUGAGCCACCGCGCCCAGCCUAAUUUUUCUUACGUGAGAUACAGUUUACUAAAGUCCACCUUCCACUUCUUCCUUCGUAUAUACAGAGAUGGCAUUUCCUAGCUUCUCUAGCAAUUAAUUGUGGCCAUGAGCUUUGGGCAGCGGAAUGUGAAUGGAUGUGAUGUAGCCACUUCAUAUGUGUUUCUCUGUGUCCUUUCCCCUUCUAGCUGACUGUGAUGGCACCCUCCAGACAGACAGCGAUGCCACAUGUUCAAGAUGGCAGAAUCACUAACAGCUUCAAUUCCUGAAUGACUGCAGAGCAAAAUUUCUUACCCGCAACAUACACUCUAUUUUCAGCCUCCCUGGACUGUUACAUAAUGAUACAUAAAAAUAUUUCUUGUGUUGAGGCAUCCCAAAUUUGAUCUAUUUGUCAUCACAGUUUAUCCUACGAAUAUAUUUCUGAUCCAAA
RNAcentral lists this long non-coding RNA (1155 nucleotides) under Pongo abelii (Sumatran orangutan). RNAcentral describes it as "lincRNA". Lineage: Eukaryota; Metazoa; Chordata; Mammalia; Primates; Hominidae. The record is from RNAcentral.